UACGUAGGUGGCGAGCGUUGUCCGGAAUUACUGGGUGUAAAGCGCGUGUAGGCGGGAGGCCAAGUCUGUGGUGAAAUCGCUCGGCUUAACUGGGCGGGGUCCAUGGAACUGGUCACCUGGAGGUCGGUAGAGGCAAGUGGAAUUCCCGGUGUAGUGGUGAAAUGCGUAGAGAUCGGGAGGAACACCAGUGGCGAAGGCGGCUUGCUGGGCCGGACCUGACGCUGAGACGCGAAGGCGUGGGGAGCGAACGGGG
RNAcentral lists this ribosomal RNA (253 nucleotides) under uncultured bacterium. RNAcentral describes it as "partial 16S ribosomal RNA". It matches the Rfam family "Bacterial small subunit ribosomal RNA", at positions 524 to 777 of the family's 1533-position model. The record is from RNAcentral.